ACGCUCGACACCUAGGAGGCAGCAGUGGGAAAUAUUGCACAAUGGGGGAAACCCUGAUGCAGCGACGCCGCGUGAGCGAAGAAGUAUUUCGGUAUGUAAAGCUCUAUCAGCAGGGAAGAAACUGACGGUACCUGACUAAGAAGCACCGGCUAAAUACGUGCAAGCAGCCGCGGUAAUCUGAGCGGGCUGGCAAGGC
This 196-nucleotide ribosomal RNA is filed under the name uncultured bacterium. RNAcentral's name for it is "partial 16S ribosomal RNA". It matches the Rfam family "Bacterial small subunit ribosomal RNA", at positions 328 to 539 of the family's 1533-position model. The record is from RNAcentral.